This 253-nucleotide ribosomal RNA is filed under the name uncultured bacterium. RNAcentral describes it as "partial 16S ribosomal RNA". It matches the Rfam family "Bacterial small subunit ribosomal RNA", at positions 524 to 776 of the family's 1533-position model. The record is from RNAcentral.
UACGUAGGGUGCGAGCGUUGCCCGGAUUUAUUGGGCGUAAAGGGCGCGUAGGCGGCCUGGCGCGUCGGCUGUGAAAUCUCCCGGCUCAACUGGGAGGGGACGGCCGAUACGGCUGGGCUUGAGCGAGGUAGGGGAGAGUGGAAUUCCCGGUGUAGUGGUGGAAUGCGUAGAUAUCGAGAGGAACACCUGCGGCGAAGGCGGGUUGCUGGGCUGAUACUGACGCUGAUGCGCGAAAGCCAGGGGAGCGAACGGG